AUCCUGGCUUAGGACGAACGCUGGCGGCGUGCCUAAUACAUGCAAGUCGAACGGUCUUUCUAUGGAAGCUUGCUUCCACUGAGAAGAUAGUGGCGAACGGGUGAGUAACACGUGGGUAACCUGCCCAUAAGAGGGGGAUAACAUCCGGAAACGGGUGCUAAUACCGCAUAGUUUUCUUGAUCGCAUGAUUGAGAAAGGAAAGACGGCCUUUGUGCUGUCGCUUAUGGAUGGACCCGCGGCGUAUUAGUUAGUUGGUGAGGUAACGGCUCACCAAGACGAUGAUACGUAGCCGACCUGAGAGGGUGAUCGGCCACAUUGGGACUGAGACACGGCCCAAACUCCUACGGGAGGCAGCAGUAGGGAAUCUUCCGCAAUGGACGAAAGUCUGACGGAGCAACGCCGCGUGAGUGAAAGAAGGUUUUCGGAUCGUAAAACUCUGUUGUCAGAGAAGAACAAGUUGGAGAGUAACUGCUCCAGCCUUGACGGUAUCUGACCAGAAAGCCACGGCUAACUACGUGCCAGCCGCCGC
RNAcentral lists this ribosomal RNA (529 nucleotides) under uncultured bacterium. Its description in RNAcentral is "bacterial SSU rRNA". It matches the Rfam family "Bacterial small subunit ribosomal RNA", at positions 16 to 518 of the family's 1533-position model. The record is from RNAcentral.